This 395-nucleotide ribosomal RNA is filed under the name uncultured bacterium. RNAcentral describes it as "partial 16S ribosomal RNA". It matches the Rfam family "Bacterial small subunit ribosomal RNA", at positions 523 to 918 of the family's 1533-position model. The record is from RNAcentral.
AUACGUAGGGUGCAAGCGUUAAUCGGAAUUACUGGGCGUAAAGCGUGCGCAGGCGGUUUUUUAAGACAGAGGUGAAAGCCCCGGGCUCAACCUGGGAACUGCCUUUGUGACUGGAAGGCUAGAGUACGGCAGAGGGGGAUGGAAUUCCCCGUGUAGCAGUGAAAUGCGUAGAUAUGCGGAGGAACACCGAUGGCGAAGGCAAUCCCCUGGGCCUGUACUGACGCUCAGGCACAAAAGCUGGGGGAGCAAACAGGAUUAGAUACCCUGGUAGCCCACGCCCUAAACGAUGUCAACUGGUUGUGGGGUCUUCAUUGACUCAGUAACGAAGCUAACGCGUGAAGUUGACCGCCUGGGGAGUACGGCCGCAAGGUUGAAACUCAAAGGAAUUGACGGGG